Molecule: ribosomal RNA, 447 nt
Filed under: uncultured bacterium
Lineage: Bacteria
Description: bacterial SSU rRNA
Rfam family: Bacterial small subunit ribosomal RNA
Source: RNAcentral
UCGGGAAUUUUGGGCAAUGGGGGAAACCCUGACCCAGCAACGCCGCGUGAAGGAUGAAGUAUUUCGGUAUGUAAACUUCGAAAGAAUAGGAAGAAUAAAUGACGGUACUAUUUAUAAGGUCCGGCUAACUACGUGCCAGCAGCCGCGGUAAUACGUAGGGACCAAGCGUUGUUCGGAUUUACUGGGCGUAAAGGGCGCGUAGGCGGCAAUUCAAGUCAGAUGUGAAAUCCCCGGGCUCAACUCCGGAACUGCGUCUGAAACUAUUUAGCUAGAGACUCGGCGAGGUAAGCGGAAUUCCAAGUGUAGCAGUGAAAUGCGUAGAUAUUUGGAGGAACACCGAAGGCGAAGGCAGCUUACUGGAAGAGAUCUGACGCUGAGGUGCGAAAGCGUGGGGAGCAAACAGGAUUAGAUACCCUCGUAGUCCCUGAGCGGGCUGGCAAGGCGCAU